UUGACAUCCAGAGAACUUGGCAGAGAUGCCUCGGUGCCUUCGGGAACUCUGAGACAGGUGCUGCAUGGCUGUCGUCAGCUCGUGUUGUGAAAUGUUGGGUUAAGUCCGCAACGAGCGCAACCCCUAUCCUUUGUUGCCAGCGAUUCGGUCGGGAACUCAAAGGAGACUGCCGGUGAUAAACCGGAGGAAGGUGGGGAUGACGUCAAGUCAUCAUGGCCCUUACGAGUAGGGCUACACACGUGCUACAGUGGCGUAUACAAAGAGAAGCGACCUCGCGAGAGCAAGCGGACCUCAUAAAGUACGUCGUAGUCCGGAUUGGAGUCUGCAACUCGACUCCAUGAAGUCGGAAUCGCUAGUAAUCGUAGAUCAGAAUGCUACGGUGAAUACGUUCCCGGGCCUUGUACACACCGCCCGUCGCACCAUGGGAGUGGGUUGCAAAAGAAGUAGAUAGCUUAACCUUCGGGAGGGCGUUUACCACUUUGUGAUUCAUGACUGGGGUGAAGUCGUAACAAGGUAAGCGUAGCGAG
This 527-nucleotide ribosomal RNA is filed under the name uncultured bacterium. Its description in RNAcentral is "bacterial SSU rRNA". It matches the Rfam family "Bacterial small subunit ribosomal RNA", at positions 981 to 1509 of the family's 1533-position model. The record is from RNAcentral.